Molecule: long non-coding RNA, 3579 nt
Organism: Fundulus heteroclitus (mummichog)
Lineage: Eukaryota; Metazoa; Chordata; Actinopteri; Cyprinodontiformes; Fundulidae
Exons: 3
Source: RefSeq, a predicted model, not a curated record
UGGAUUUCAUCUUUUAAUAUUGUCAAGGUGGAACCCUGUUUGUCGUAAUAACUGCAAUCACUGCCCAAAGAAUGAUUAGUUCUAGAAUGUUUCACUGAAUCACAACAAGUAAGGCCAAAGGAACUUUAGUUAAACUACUCUUGGCUCCUACUAUCUUUUUCCAAAGAUCUGUUUAUAAGACUUCCUAGAAAUGGAAGAGCAGCACACACACCAUUUCACACACACACCCCUCCAACUAGGAAGGGAGGGCUUUUGGUCCAGAGCAGCGCCUGUACACAGUAAGAUAUCAUGUUCCCAUUUACGUCAUACUGUAUCCCUAUAAAGGCUGAAAGUUACCCCAUAUUGUUGGGAUUGUUGGGACUUCUGUGAAAUGAAGAUGAUUGUAAGUCCAGAAUAAACGAAUCCCCCUGCUGGUCGCUGAAGAGAAGCUGUGGUGUCUGGUCUCGUCUGUCUGUUUUUAAGGUUAAAUCCUCUCCCACAUAAUUGGCGUUGUCGGCAGGAUAGAACAAGGGAGAGGAAAAAAGGCUUUCCACAGCAUCUACCUCCAGUGGCAAAACGGGGCCCAUUGAGAAACAGAAAAGAGGAGGUAAGUUAAGCAUACCUCUCUCUCUCUUUAUUUUUCCUUUUUUUUAACAUAAGAUUUGCCACACAGAGGUUCUGCUUUGGAAAAAGUGUAUUGAUUUUAAAGGCGAGACAAGUGAGGCAUUGCUGCUUCUUUUUGUGACCACCAGUUGUAAUUUUCCGCGGAAAAUGGAUUGUCACAAAAUACAAAAGAUGAGGAACGCGUGGAUUCCAACACAAUUGAUUAACCGACAAUCUUAAGGAAGUGAUUUGUGUACUCCCAGCCGCUUUUAUCGGAUGUCCCGUCAAAUAUGACGUUAGAAGCGACGGCGUAUAAGAAAUGAAUCGGACCAGUACGGGUCUUUGCUGAAGUUUUUCUAAUAUACAUAACUUUUUAGAAUCAAAAAAUCAUCGUGAGAGGGUGAUUUUAGAAACAUGGGCUGGUCGGAGUCUUUAGAGGUGAAGCCUCUGAGUAAGCGUGGCCGUUCUCUCUAGCUCGUACCCGUUUGUACGUGCGAGUAUUGGAAAGAUCGGGCCAUUAGUGAACUGCAGUUGUUUUGUGAAGCUGAGAUCUCCGGUUUAGGCUUUGAGGUGAGAAAAACCUCCUAUCAAAUUUGACGUAGAAAUGCAUGCAGAUUUUGUUGGGCGAGUAGUUGUAAGCGCUUGGAGAAAGAGAAAUGAGGUUUCUCUUGGAUCAUCUGUGUGGCCUUAACUGCAGUCUGGUUUUGAGUACUCUGGUUUAGGUAACGAGGUGAAAACCUCCUAUUAAAUUUGACAUAGAAGGCCUGUUCUGAAGCACGUGCAGUAUGAACUUUUUUUUUUACUCUUGUUUUUAUCCUUGUAUUAUGGGUCCAUUCAAAUUACAAGCCAAAAUUCACUGUGCGCACACAUAUAAAAUAAGAGAAUUGGACAUCUGGACCAUCAGGAAAGUCACUAGUUUCCCAAGGAAGUGAGUCCUGUUUUUCAGAAAUUGAGAUUCUGUCCGUUUCUGGCCACCCUUUUUUCUGAUGGAAGACACAUCAAAAAGACGAGAAGAACAGCUAUAUCUUUCAGGAGCAGACGGAGAGCAGAUUUGCACAGGAGAAUGGCUGAAUCUGGGUACUGGCGGAGUAAGCCUGUGAACAUAUCCUUUCUAAAUUGUGAAUUUUGAUGAAUGAUUUUGUGACAAAUGAGGACAUUGUUAAACCUCUUUUGAUAAAUAUGUGUAAAGUCACUAUUUGCCGUUGAUGUGGACUUUAAGUUCUAAAUGUGCUCAUGUAUUUUAUUUUUUCUACUGUUCCUAUGUCCUGGAGUGGAGCAUGGUUCAUGGAGGAUGAGAUGAAUUGUCACCGAAGCGGACUUUCAUGUAUGGGCUGAUAAUAUAAUGAGAAAAGGUGAUGUUAUUAUAAAACAAUUCAAACAAUUUUUCAGUAAGAACAUUGCUUUAACUGCUGCAGGUUGCAUGUUCUGCUGUGGCUGAACAUUCUACAUUAUUUUCAACCAUUCUGUUCUCUAUGUUCUUAAUAUUUUGUUUUUAAAUGAGUUGGCAUAGCUGUUGUUUUUGUUUUGAUUUCCUACGUUUUCAGGUGAGCGAUCUUGGAAGGUAUUUAAGUUUGGAAGUUCAAGUCAAAUACACACAAAAAAUCAGAUGGACACUAAACAUCAAUGUUUAAGAAAAUGUACAUUAGCCCCAUUGACAUUUUAAGGAUAUCAUCAUAAGACUAGUGAAGACUCUGAGCUGGGAAAUCAUUGUAAUAUACGAUACUGGUUAGUUUUUCCUGUCUCCUUAGGGCGACCCAGGGACGUAGAAGGGCGGGGUCCCUCUUUGUGUGCUGGACUAAGGGACUCAGAGGCAUGAUGUUUGCAACAGAGGGGGCCCUGCACCAGGACUGUGAGAAAGCAGUACAAUUUAAUCAAAGGAUCCUGGAGAGCGACAUACCGUGUCAGCGACAUGAGGACAAGAACUUUGCCACACUACGAAGCUGCCAAUCCCAUCAAAUGUUACAAAUUCUGAUUUUAUCUAUGCUAUGCUAAAUCCCUGAAGUUUAUGAUAAGGUGUAGGAUGGGCAUAUUUUUAGGUAGAUGUUUUUGGGUGGUUACCGUAGGAACUGAAUGAUGAUAUUAUACUAUUCUAAUUUUGUUUUAAUUUUGCUUAAUAUGUUUGUCUUCUUUCCUGUUAUUUUAUGUUUUUUGACGACAUUGUGAGUACCAUGGCUGGGUUUCUGAGCCAUGCUGGUCGGUCAGGUGGUCGGCUGGCGGACGCCCGUGGGGGAGGGGUCCAUGCAACAGUUUUUACCCUGAAUAAACACAUAAAUACCAGCGACAGGGAUUUUUCGGUUGCAUAUGGUCAGAAAUAACUGGCAUAUGGGAAAACAAUGUACAUUUUGUACAUCCGUAUAUAGUUCAGUGCAUGUUUUUAUUUUAUUCUACAUUUACGACUAUACAUUACCAAUUUUUUGUUCUUUUUUCUGUUUGAUAAUCAAAGCAAGUAUUUUUACCCUUUUAUAUUCCUCUAUUACUCCACAAUUACAUUAUUCCACUUUUCUUAUAGUUCCCAGUGUGAUUUUCCCUUGAUAUGGCUCACGUAAAUGAGCCAAAGGGGGGAUGUAUGGUGGAUUUCAUCUUUUAAUAUUGUCAAGGUGGAACCCUGUUUGUCGUAAUAACUGCAAUCACUGCCCAAAGAAUGAUUAGUUCUAGAAUGUUUCACUGAAUCACAACAAGUAAGGCCAAAGGAACUUUAGUUAAACUACUCUUGGCUCCUACUAUCUUUUUCCAAAGAUCUGUUUAUAAGACUUCCUAGAAAUGGAAGAGCAGCACACACACCAUUUCACACACACACCCCUCCAACUAGGAAGGGAGGGCUUUUGGUCCAGAGCAGCGCCUGUACACAGUAAGAUAUCAUGUUCCCAUUUACGUCAUACUGUAUCCCUAUAAAGGCUGAAAGUUACCCCAUAUUGUUGGGAUUGUUGGGACUUCUGUGAAAUGAAGAUGAUUGUAAGUCCAGAAUAAACGAAUCCCCCUGCUGGUCGCUGAAGAGAA